UAAAAAGAACUCAGCUGCAGAGCAUCAGAUUCCACUAACCAUUGGCAAGACAUGCUUUUGGGGCUCUUGAAACACUGCUGAAGGAAGAGUGUUGGGACUGCACUCUGCUCUGAAGUUCCUGGGGCUAUCAGAGAGCUACAAGCUUCUGUAGCCUGAAGUGUAACCAUAUAAGGAGAAAUUGAGUUCAGUUGACUCCAUGUUAAUGAAGCAGCUUCUACUGAACGAGUGGACUGAGGAUGAACCCACUUCAGUCCUAGUUUUGUAUCCCGAUUAAGAGUCUGGCUCUUUGGAAUGUCACGGCUUUGGAGUGGGCUCUGGAGGGGUGUUGAUGACACCUUUAGGGGUGAGCUGCAAUUUUGGCUUUCCACUGUCUAGAAGAGGAAGAAUAAUUAUACCAUUCACAGUAUUCACAAGACAAGAACUCAUCAGAGAUUCAAAAGCAGAAUAAUGUUGGGACCCCAGAGAAGUAUUCUUGGCUUUUCUCAGAAGGAAGAUACUGCGUAAUGUGAGGAACAAAUAUCCUCUACAGCAUCUCUAUGGCCCCAGUGUGUGUUGUUCCUCUCUAUAUGUCCAUGUGUUCUCAUCAUUAAGUGGCACUUUAAAGAUGCUUCCAUUAAUUGACAGUUCUGAGUCCAUGAUGGUAAAACUUUUGAGAAACAAACUGACUGCCAAGGAAAAGUCUCCAUGCACUACAAACAGUUUUGGCUUCUUUUGAAGAGAUUGACAAUCAGGAGUCUGAAUCAGGAAUUGACCAGCUGACCAGCUGGCUAAGCACCCAAAUGUGUGUGGUGAGGGUGAGACUUAAAAACAGAGUUCAACGUCUGAAAUCUAGAAGCAAUUUGGUGCCAGUGUUCUCCACACGAGGUAAUUGUGAUGCCUAUAGUUGACAGCUGUUUGCAGGAGUGAUCCAGCCUGAAUGAUGUAUUUUCCCUCACAUUCUUCCCAGUGAUGGACAGUCUGUAUCUGCCUCCUGCCAGCCGGGUUGCAAACAUAAUGUACUCUUUGCGGCUUCAAUCAAAAUGAAAUUCUUCAUGGAAAACUGUACUAUAACUGGAAGUAUUUGAAAAUCAGAGAAGACAGAUGAGCUGAAUGAUACAACACAUGGCUGCUGUAAUUGAGCAGUGUAGCUGGAUUAUUUUAUUUUAUCUAUGGAUAUAUCAACCAAAGGAAUCCUGUGUUUAAUUUUAUAAGUCAGAGUACCCUUUCAGUUGUGCAGUAUUUGAGAUAUUAGAAUAAUUUAUUUCUCUUUGGGCUCUCUCCCUUUUUCUAAACCUGUUGUCCUUCAGAUGGGACACAGUAUUACUAACCAGAUGAGAAAAGACAUUGUUGACAUGCUGAACAUGGCAGAUCAAAGGAACCA
Long non-coding RNA from Piliocolobus tephrosceles (Ugandan red Colobus), 1360 nucleotides. RefSeq lists it as uncharacterized. The record is from RefSeq and is a predicted model, not a curated record. Lineage: Eukaryota; Metazoa; Chordata; Mammalia; Primates; Cercopithecidae. The transcript has 7 exons.